RNAcentral lists this unclassified non-coding RNA (405 nucleotides) under uncultured Alteromonadaceae bacterium. RNAcentral's name for it is "partial 16S-23S ribosomal RNA intergenic spacer". The stretch from base 282 to 405 matches the Rfam family "Bacterial large subunit ribosomal RNA", at positions 1 to 122 of the family's 2925-position model. Lineage: Bacteria; Pseudomonadati; Pseudomonadota; Gammaproteobacteria; Alteromonadales; Alteromonadaceae. The record is from RNAcentral.
CCUCCUUACCAUUACGUCGAUAGACGCCUUGAUGCAGUGCCUACACAGAUAGUCUUGUUUUUAUUGAACAAUACUUAUGUUCUUUAACAAUUUGGAAAGCUGAUAUUAAUAGUAAUCAAUCAAAGUUGAGUAACUGAGAAAUCGAAAGAUGACUUUUUACUCUGCUUGACUGAAUUGCUUGUUAUCAAUCGAUGAUUUGAUAGCAAGGCAAUUCUUCCGAUUAGCUUGUCAUUCAUGCGACAUAACUUAGACAGAAGUCAAAAGGCUGUUUGGGGUUGUAUGGUUAAGUGACGAAGCGUAUACGGUGGAUGCCUUGGCAGUUAGAGGCGAUGAAGGACGUGUAAGCCUGCGAAAAGCUGUGGUGAGCCCGACAAAAUGCAUUUGAGCCACAGAUUUCCGAAUGGA